GUGCUUGCUUUGACAGCACAUAUACUAAAAUCAGAAUGAUACAGAGAAGAUUAGCAUGGUCCCUGUGCAAGGAUGAUAUGCAAAUUCUUGAGGUGUUUCAUAUUUUU
Molecule: small nuclear RNA, 107 nt
Filed under: Salvator merianae (Argentine black and white tegu)
Lineage: Eukaryota; Metazoa; Chordata; Lepidosauria; Squamata; Teiidae
Source: RNAcentral